This 633-nucleotide long non-coding RNA is filed under the name Orbicella faveolata. RNAcentral describes it as "uncharacterized LOC110055461, transcript variant X3". Lineage: Eukaryota; Metazoa; Cnidaria; Anthozoa; Scleractinia; Merulinidae. The record is from RNAcentral.
AGCAGACAUGAAUAGUCCCUCCUGUUGUUUGGUUGCUAGCGUAUCUGUUAGAGCAAAUAUAGUGGCUUUACAGUCACCAUUUCGUGCGGAAUCGUUCGCAAUCAACUUCUAGCAAGCAAGACAAGUAACGACUGUUAUCGCCAUGCAUUGUUUCAAGUUCCUCUUUGUGUUUGCUUUGCUUACGUGUUUGAUGGACUCGUGUGAUGGUGUCGGUCCCGGUAGUGGCUAUGGAGGUCGCAUGAGAUCCAAGAGAGGAGUUGGGGAGAAAGCUAAAGAUCCAAAUAUUCGGGACAAAAGGUAACUGUUUCCAAUGUGGAAGAAACGUCUUCCUCACCGAAGCUUUAAAGAAGAGGACAAAAAGCGAUUCGACUGAGUCCAUGUCUGUGGAAAGCUGCAUUGAGCUACCGGCGACCAGUUAUGCUUCAUCAAUCAAGUUUUUUUCUCGUAUUAAUUAUAUUAAAAAUAGACUAGACAGCUCUAUGACAAAUAGUUCAUACAAGAUGGAUGCGGUGUUAAUCAGUAACUCUGAGACCCUUAAAAGAAAUAAGCACCAGCUGAACAGCAAAUAUAGGAUUUCUUUUGCUGAACUGUAACCUCUAAAAUGAUAUUAAAUGACGUGGAUCUACCGUUGAA